CCUUUUCUUUCGGAAAGUUUUGAGCAAGUGGACACUCGCCUACUACCAGUAGUAAUAACUCCUGCUUGUAUGAUGUGCCCUUACAUACCUUAUGGGAAACAUAGUUCUCAUCUUCUUUUUGUACAUUGGGAAAUUGAGGCUUAGUCAGGUUUCAAAGGUUUCCAUAAUUGCUCUGGAGUGUGGCACAGUGACCACUGUCAAAGGAAAUGGAGUACUAGUUCUCUUACCUCAUUUUGUUAGCAACUCCUUGCUUUUGUUACAAUUCCUUUUCUUAUGUGCCAUUUUCAAUGAAUAUUUGCUUCCGGAGUACAUGUAUUGUUUUUGUUUUGUUUUUGUUCAGUAAUUAAGUUUAAUAUAAAAUAAUAUACAGUCAUUUUAGAAAAUUUGGAAAACCUAGAAAAUCGCAAAGAGAAAAGAUAAAAUUACCUUUAAUGCAACCAUCUGGAAAGGAUCACCAAUUUUAAUGUAUUUUCCAGUACAUGCUGUGCCAGUUGAGCCAGCAGAGCCUGAGUCAUAGAUGUAUGGACACGAUUUUAAAAAUGGACCUUUAAUUAUAACCUUACUGGAGUCCACUCACAUUUCUAUCCCUUGUGUCUUGGACCUGGGUUUUUGGCUGUGUGGGAGAUAAAACAAUAUUUUGCUGAUCCUGUAAUACAGUCAGUAUUUACUGGGACACAGAAGAUGCCAGUCCUAAAAGAUAGCACCCCAUCCUGGUAAGUCUGUAAUUGGUGUUGAGUCUAAGCACGUAAGGGUCUCUUUCAUCAUUUUGUAGGCCUAUUUUUUGUUGAUGAGAGGUACUUGAAGGGUCCAGAACAUCCUGUUGACAUCAGGAUACUUAUCUGAUCUUUCUCAUUGAAGUGGGUGCUUGGAGGCAUUGUGUGUAAUACUGUAGUGGUGAUGUACAAGGCAUUUAUCAAAACACUUGGUGGUGGUGUGGUAAGAGUGCAAAAGACUACAAAAGCCAAUCCAAAUCCAGAGUAAGUAUCAGUUCCAAUAAGGGGCAGGCAUUGUCCCUUCAACCAUGGAAAGGUCCCAGUAUAGUUAGCCUGGGAUUAAGUAACUAACUGGUUCCCUCAAGGUAUGGUAUCAAAUCAAGGGCUUACUAUUGGCCAAUAAUAUUGACAGAGUGGGUCCUGGCCAGUAGAGGAUAGUCACAUGGUGUGGGGGAGUUCUUUAGCUUCUGUAGCCACUGGCUGAUGCAAGCCUCUGUCAUUGCCACUGUAGUCACUCUUAAGGCCAUUGAGCAAGUAUUAGAUCGGGGUCAGGGGGGAGAGGUACAGAUGCAGCCCUGUCCACAUGAUGAUUAAGAGGUUUUGCUGCAAUUGUGGGCACUCUGGAUAGAAUUUAUAUUGGACACAAAUUUGUAUCCUUUCCGGACAGCCACCUGCUUUAUCUUUCCUCAGUUCUCCUUGUCAGCAAUCUUCCAUUCUUGCUUAUUCCAAAUCUGUACCCAUUUGGGUAAAUCAUUCACCACUGCCUAAGAAUUGAUAAAAAACAAACAAACAAAAAACAACUGACCAAAGGUUUCCAUCCUGAAAGG
Pipistrellus kuhlii (Kuhl's pipistrelle) is the source of this 1540-nucleotide long non-coding RNA. RefSeq lists it as uncharacterized. The transcript has 2 exons. Lineage: Eukaryota; Metazoa; Chordata; Mammalia; Chiroptera; Vespertilionidae. The record is from RefSeq and is a predicted model, not a curated record.